GGGGUAGUGGUUCUCCUGCGGUUGGAUCACCCUAGUUCUUUUAAUUUUUCUUAUUGAUUUACCAUUUUCAAUUAAUUAUUUGUUCAUCAAUUUCCGUCCUACAUCAUAUUGGCAUCAAAGCUUUGUUUCUCCAUCAAUUUCUUAAUUUUUGGGAUAUGUUGGGUUUUCAAAAAAAAAAAAAAAGUUACUGUAUAUAGCCGGAGUUAUUGUUUAUCGGAGUACUGUCCAUCGCCAGAGUUACUGUUCAUCGCGCUUCGCAGUUCAUUAAAAAAACCAGUUGCUGUGUUGUUUUGGAAUAGGGAGGUAACCCUAACUUUUCUAAUUUAAAUUAAAAAGCCUUGCAAAUUAUCUUUUAGUACCCCAAACUUCCACUCUCCAUUUAAAUAUUGCCCCACAGUUUAUUAGUUUACAUUUUUCACCCUUGUUUCUUGCAUAAAGAGUCCUAAACUUUUAACCUUAGCACUUUUCACCCCAGUCUAAUGCUUUCUGAUUAGUUAGGUCAAAAAAAAAUUAAAAAUUUCAAUUUUGAUUAUUAAGAUUUUAAAUAUUUCUUGAAUUCUCUUCAUUCAUUAGUACUAAAAUUUUGAAAGCUUGUUUUGGAUUUAUUAUUUUAAAUUGCAUAUUAUUCCAUUUAGUUUUAUAUUAUUCGACUAUUAUUAUUAGCUUUUGAGAUUGUGAUUGCAUAAGCUUAGACUUGUAAAUUUAAUUUUCUUUCAGUUAAAUUUCUAUAUUGUCUAUGUUUUGCACUCGCAUUUGCAUCAUGACUACACGUACCCAAGCUGCUUUAGAAGAAAUUCAGGGCUAAUUAGUGACCAUAGUUCAUAGUUGCACAACUGGGUCAAAUGAAUGAUAGGAUCACACACAUUGAACAAAGACAACCUGUAGUGGAAUCUCAGGAGAAUAAUGAGAAUGGGCAUAUCGAAACCUCACAUGUUAGGCACCAUGAACAUCCUAGGCAUGAUCCUUAUGAUGAUGACUAUAGAAAAAUCUAGGUAGAUGCACCUGAGUUUGACAAUAGAUUUGAUCCCAAUACAUCCAUGAUUGGUUGUCUAGUAUGGAGAAGUAUUUUGACUGGGUAAGAGAUGCCUGAGGAUAAGAGGGUGCUAUUCGCCAAAAUGAAUUUGGUAAAAUUGGUCAGUUUAUUCUAGUUAGGGGUUGCGAGAGACUUAGAGCAUCUAGGGGAGCCACCUAUUAGGCAUUUGGGGGAGAUGAAAGCUCGCCUAAAGCAAUAUUAUUUACCUAAAUGACAUUAAUGGAGCAGUAUGACAACUUUCGUCAAGGUAAUAAUGUUUGUUGCUGCUUACAUCUAGAGAUUUAGGGAGUUGACUCAAAGAUGUAGGAUCAGUGAGAGUGAUAAAUUGACCAUUAUGAAGUUCAAGAGUGAAUUACGACUUGAACUUCAAUCACACAUCCUGUGACCAGUGGCAUCACUACUGUAGAUGACCUUUUCUAGUUAGCUCUAGAUAAUGAUUAUAGGUUACAGGGUAUCGCCAAGAGAGUCUCUUCUUACUCAAGCCAGCCCAGUAACUGAAAUUUCUCGCAAGGUAGACCUUUCCCCACUUCUCAAGCGUCCUCUAGGGCUAGUAACUCCAUAGUCGGGUCAUUUCAUGACAAAGGGAAGGGUGUAGCUGCACCCAACUCUCAGUCUACUACCCAGGAGUGGUGUUUUACGUGUCAGGGGUUAGGGCACAAGUCUUUUGAGUGCUCCAAUUGCAAUUGACAACGGGUAACAAUAGUUGGGGAAACUUUAAAAAAAGAGGGGGAUAUUGUCGGAGCCAAAGUCGAUGGUUAGUAUGACUCGCAGGAUGAGGGGGUUGAUAAGCACAUAGAGGAGAUAGGUAAUGAGAUAGGUGUCAUGAGGUGUGUAUUCACAAGUCAUAGGAAAGAGGAUGAUUGUAGGAGAACCAUCAUAUUUCAAACUUACAACAAAGUAGAUGGUGUCUCUUCUAAGUUGAUUGGGGGUAGUUGCUUAAAGGUGGUUGCUAAGUCCGCCUUACCACGGAUGAAGCUAAAGGCAGAACCAUAUCCCCAACCUUUUAGCGUCUCCUGGGUCAACAAGACAUCCAUUCUUGUGUCAAAGAGAUGUCUAGUAUCGAUCCACCUUCAGGGCUAUGAGGAGAGUAUUUGGUGUGAUGUACUUCCUAUAGAUGUUGCACAUAUUCUAUUAGGGCGACCUUGGCUAUAUGACCGUGAUGUGACUCAUUGUGGGAGGACGAACAUGUGUUUACACACACGGGGCAGAAAAUAUCAUUAGCACCUGUGAGACUGUAACACCCCAGUUCCACAUCGAAAGAUAGGUGAAAAAUUUGUCUGCAUAUAAGGAAAUAAGUUACUACCAAUUGUACCUUCAAGUCAUGACCUUUUGGGAGCCCGUGGUGGGCUAAGAUGACCAAGAAGAUACUAUUGGGCCAGUAGUCUGAGGCCUUAUUUUGAUGGAUUUGAUUCGAUUCAGACUUGGGAUUUGACCUGAGAUUUAUUCCGGACUCGGGAUUUGACCCGGGUUGUUUCAUAUGGUAUCAAAGCCGACUCUCGAAAGCUCGGGUCGGGUCAUCCGAUCGGGUUGUCGGAUGUGGGGACACGAAGGCUGGUGGUAUUAUCCCACAAUGGAGAGAUGAAGGUCCGGAGGUGGGGACACGAAGCCAGCCGGUAUUAUCCCACAAUGGCUAGAGAGGCAAAGAUCUUUGGGCCGUGUGUGUGAUCGGUUCUGACGGGGACGUCAAGAAAUUUAAGUGGGGGAGUUUGUAACACCCCAGUCCCACAUCGAAAGAUAGGGGAAAAAUUUGUCUGCAUAUAAGGAAAUAAGUUACUACCAAUAGUACCUUCAAGUCAUGACCUUUUGGGAGCCUGUGGUGGGCUAAGAUGACCAAGAAGAUACUAUUGGGCCAGUAGUCUGAGGCCUUAUUUUGAUGGAUUUGAUUCGAUUCGGACUUGGGAUUUGACCUGAGAUUUAUUCCGGACUCGGUAUUUGACCCGGGUUGUUUCAGAGACCCCGAGUGUCGUCCAAGAGUCAACCAAAGGAGACUAGCUUACCUACCUAACAAACCAAAUUACUACAUAUUCUUAAUAGAAAGGAGUUUGAGCGGAGUGUGUUGGAGGAGAAAGUUGUGUAUGCAGUGGUAGCUAGAGAGGUGAGAGAUGUUCCUGAAGAGAGUACUAGAGAGAUUCCUAAUGAUGUUAGACAGAUUCUACAUGAGUUUGUUGAUGUUAUGCCUAGUGAGUUACCCGAUGAGUUACCACCUAUUAGGGACAUCUAGCAUGCCGUUGACCUUCUUUUGGAGUCUUCUUUACUAAACCUGCCACAUUAUAGGAUGCAUCCCACAUAGUAGACUGAGAUGAGACGACAGGUAGUUGAGUUGUUGAGGAAGGGUCUCUGUUCUAAAAAUCGGUCUAGGCGGCCUCCUAGGCGGCGCUUAGGCGCUAGGCGGGGGCCUGACGCCGCACCUAAGGCCAAAUCGGUGAAAAAAGCAGGCUAGGCGGGAAGGCGGGCAAGGCGGAGUUUUUUUAAAAUUUUUAAAAUUACUACCAAAAUCAAAUCUUAAUAUAUUUAUUUUUCUAAUGAUUUAUCAUAUUCUUAAUGCAAGUUGUAGCAUAUCAAAUCACAACAAGAAGUGAACAAGAUAAAGUCAAAAUGGAUAAUUUUAUUAUAGUUGUAAUUUUUUGAACUUGUACCAACUUGAAAUUCUAUAAAUGAUACAUUUGUAAUAUUUAGUUUAAUUCAAUAUAAUUAUUAAAUUUAUGUUUAGUUUCUUAAGUUUUAAUAUUGAAUCGAAUUCUUAAAAUUUAAAUUUUAUUAUUUAAUACCAAAUUUGUUUAUGAAUAAAACUAAUACGUCAAAGAUAUGUUAGUCAUACUUAGUAUAUGGUAUUUGUCAUUUUCUUUAAGUCCUCAAUUUAAAAUUACACAAAAAUAAAAAAUCCCGCCUAGGCCCCCCUGGCCGCCCGCCUUUUAGAACAUUGUGAAGGGCUUUGUUAGACAUGCCAUUGACCUUGUGUCGUUCUAGCCUUAUUCAGCCCCAAGGCUGAUGGGAGUUUGAGGAUCAUAAAUAAGACCACUAUCAAGUAUAGGUUUUCCAUACCUAGGCUUUAUGACAUGCUCGGUAUGAUGACUGGGGCUCAUGUUUUCACCAAAAUAGACUUGCGGAGUGGAUACUACCAAAUCCGCGUCCGAGAGGGAGUUGAGUGGAAGACUGUCUUUAAGACAGGGGACAUGUUUUAUGUGUGGUUAGUCUUACCUCUUGAUUUUAUCAAUACACCCAACACAUUUAUGAGAGUUUUGACUUUUGAAUCAGGAGCUACGUCCUUUCAUAGGCAAGUUUGUAGUGGUUUAUUUGAUGACAUCCUCAUUUAUAGUAAAACCUGAGAGGAACAAUUAACUUGCGACAAAUUCUAGCAGUUCUUCUACGUGAGAAACUCUAUGUUAAUUUGAAGAAGUGUUCUUUUGUUCAAGAGUUGGUCAUUUUUCUCGGGUUUGUGAUCGCCGAGAGGGUUUCUGUCGAGCCAGAGAAAGUAAAGGCUAUUAAGGAGUGGCUUGAACCUUCUAAUAUUCACGAAGCUUGAAGCUUCCAUGGGCUAGCUACGUUUUAUACGAGGUUCAUUAGAGAACUUAGUACCAUUAUGGUCCCAUCACUGAUAGUUUGAAAAAGGGAGAGUUUGUUUGGUCUUAAUCGGCUACUAAAACCUUUGUGAAAAUCAAGAAUAGGUUGACACAGGCACAUGUUCUCUUGCUACCAGACUUUAGUAAAGUGUUUGAGGUAGCAUGCAACGCUUCAGGCGUAGGGAUAGGGGGUGCUUAGUUAAGAGGGUCAUCCGAUAGCGUUCUUUAGUGAGAAAUUGAAUGAGGCUCGACAAAAGUACUCUACCUAUGAAUUAUGAUAGAGAGUUUUAUGCUAUACUCCAAGCACUUAGGUAUUGGGGACAUUUUUUGUUGUAUAUGGAGUUUGUUCUUUAUCAUCAGACACUUUAGUACCUUAGCUCCCAAAAGAAAUCGAGUCAUCAACACGCUAGGUGGGUAGAGUUUAUCCAAGAGUAUUCUUUUUUCCUUAAACAUUGCAAAGGGACAAAGAAUGUGGUUGCUGAUGCGUUGAGUAGGGUGUCCAUCCUUGUCAACUCUUUGAGAGUGAAGGUUGUGGGAUUUGAACGCAUUAUCUAGGAGUACCCUACUUGUCGAGACUUUAGUGACAUUUGUGCUACCCUACAAAAUCCUAGUUCCCCACCCUCUAGUGAUAUUCGUAUCCAUGAUGUGUAUCUUUUUAUGGACACCCGCUUGUGUAUUCCUAGUACAUUGAUGCGUGAGUAUUUAUUGUGGGAGUUAUACGCGGGAGGAUUAGCUGGAUACUUUGGUUGAGAUAAGACCAUUGUCAUUGCAGAGGAUAGGUUCUUUUGGCCUAGCCUCAAGAGAGAUAUAACUCGUGUUGUUUUUGAGUGCCGCACAUGUCAGACUGCUAAGGUUAGGAAGCACAACUUGAGUUUGUACGCUCCACUUCCGGUUCCUCAUAUACCUUGGGAGGAUUUUAGCAUGGAUUUUGUCAUGGGGUUACCGAGGACCCAGAGGGGUCAUGAAUCAGUUUUUGUUGUAGCGAACCGUUUCACUAAGAUUUCACAUUUUAUUCCUUGCAGCAAAAUUGAUAAUGCCUCACAUAUUGCUAUGAUUUUCUUUAGUGAUGUAGUGAGAUUGCGUGGGUUAUCAUUGACUAUAUUUUUUGAUAGAGAUGUUAAAUUUAUGAGUUAUUUUUGGAAAACUCUUAACACCAUGCUUAAGUUUUCUACUGCUUAUCAUCCACAGACCGAUGGUCGGACUGAGGUUGUUAAUAGGAGUUUAGGUGAUCAUGUGUCUACAUGGAAUAAGGUUUUACCUAUGGCUGAGUUUGCAUAUAAUAGCUCAGUUAAUCGUUCGACUGAAGUGAGUCCUUUUCAGGCUUACGCUGAUUAUCAGCCUAGGAAACCUGUUGAUCUAGCUUCUCUUCCCACUGCAUAUAGGGCUAGUGAGUCUGCAGAGUCUUUUGCGCAUCACAUUCAAGAUUUGCAUGCUGAGAUAAGAAAGAAAAUUUAAGCAAUUAAAAUUAUAAGUCUGCUGCAGAUGUUCAUUGCAGGUAUCAAGAAUUUAAUGAGAACGAUCGAGUGAUGUUACGACACCAUACUGAGAGAUUACCUCCUGGCACAUGGAAGAAAGUGUAUGCUAAGAGGAUGGGUCCAUUUGGAGUUCGAAAGAAGGUUAGCGCUAAUGCAUAUACAAGUUGGAUCUUCCGAGUGAAAUGGAGUAUUGGUCCCGAAUUCAAUGUGGAAGACCUUAUUCCUUAUCAUGGGCCUUCUAUGAUUUUUUCCCUCUUCCACUUCUUUUCCUACUACUUCACCUACACCUCGUAUUCUUCCUACACAGCGUACAAUAGAGGUUAUUGAGAAUGUUUUUGAUGAGUGAGUUGUGGUGAACGGGCAGGGUGGUUAUUGUCAGUUUUUGGUGAAGUGGUGCAAAAAGACUCCGGAUGAUUGUACAUGGAUUAGUGUUGAGGAGUUCCGUCGACUUAAUUCAUACCUUUUGGAGAGAUAUGAGACUUUCACUUCACCAAAAGCUUCUUUUUCACAGCUGAGGAGGGUUGAUAGGAAUCGAUCCAUGAGACGACGUCGUCGUAGAUGAUUUGCUAUGUAACUAUUUAUUUAUCAGUUGUCUAUUUAUUUAGUUUGUUAGACUUCUUAUUUAUUGGUUUAUUUCAGUAUUGGGUUAUUUAUUUAGAGGUCCAAUUGUUACUGGACUUGGGGUUAUUAGAGUUUAUUUUUUAAUAAAUAUGUAUGCAAGUCAUGUUAGACUCUUUACACUUUGAUAUUGAAAUUAUCCUAAUAAUUAGUUGCGAUCAAUAUUUUUCCUCUUUACUGCGGUUGGGAAACCCUAGGGGUCGUAGUUCUCCUGCGGAUAACCCUAGUUCUUUUAAUUUUUCUUAUUGAUUUACGACUUGCAAUUAAUUAUUUGUUCACCAAUUUCCGUCCUACAUCAUCAUAAAAGGCAGUGAUUUCCUCAGCCCUACUUGUGGAUCACUGAGCAGGCACCAUCAAAUCAAUAUGUAGGAAUGUCCAGCCUUCUCGUUAAAAUCUCUCGGCAUCAUAAAAGGCAGUGACUUUCCCAGCCCUACUUGUGGAUCACUGAACAGUCACCAUCAAAUCGAUGUGUAGGAACCUGUCCACAUCAAACUGAAUGUCUUAACCUUCCCGCUUCAAUAGCAAAAGAAUUUUAUGAGAGGCUGCAACUGCCGGAGCAAUUGCUAGUAGGCGGAGCAAUUGUUAGGCACCAUUCUGCUUGCUCCCUGUAGCAUUCUUCAAUAGGGAAAAAAAUCUUAUUAUUAUAAAACCGAAAGGAAAUUAUGAUUAACCUUAGGAAAUGAAACCCUAACCCCAACAACUAACAAAAAUAAUAUUUUGCCAGUUGACUGCAUAUUUUAUUUUAUUUUAUUUUGGUGCAGCCUGCUUCAUAUUUACUUCCAUAUGCAUAUGGUUUCGUUGUACAUAAAGCAGCAUAAAAUAAUUAAAAAUGUGCAUGUGCAACGACAUUUGUUAACUAACCAACUCAUCUAAAACCUUGAGCUGGUAGUCUGGUAGAUAGAGGCUCAACAAUGUAUAUCAUGCUAACAUUCCCCUCACAUNNNNNNNNNNNNNNNNNNNNNNNNNNNNNNNNNNNNNNNNNNNNNNNNNNNNNNNNNNNNNNNNNNNNNNNNNNNNNNNNNNNNNNNNNNNNNNNNNNNNCUGAGAGAUUGACCAGGGACCUCUUAAGAUCUGAUAUGGCAAUAGGUGGAGAGAUCCAUUUGGUUUUUUUUGUUUGGGAGUGGGGGUGGGGGUGGGGGUGGGGGGGGAUGCUUCACAAUUAUCACUGUGGUCGAGCUCUUGCACACAUAUUUGAGUGUAAUAUCUAAAAUUUGAUCUGUUUGACAUAUAUAUGUAAUAUUGUAAUUAUUUCAAAACUCCCAAAAACCCCAUGGUAUGUCAUGCGUUGUGAUGAUCUGCAGUACAUAACUCGUCUUGUUUAAUUUUGUAUUGAUGUUUGCAUUAGCUACCUAUCCCGCAUACGUUGGAUUUAUCAUGUUCAAUAUAUCCCCAUAUUGUCGUAAAGGUUCCAACUUUAAGAUCAGCCUAUCUUUGGCUGGAAGGUGUAAACCUGUUGGGUUCGAAUCCCUUUUGAAGAAGCCCUUUCAGGUCCCAUAGUAGCAACAGAUUGGCGUGCCCAGAAGGAAGGCAACUCUGCAAGUGAGAGUCCUUGGCUCUCAAAGAGAGAAGGCAAAGAAUGUGGUUAUAGCUCCUAUUGAAAAUUGGGUAUUUGAGGUGCCAAAUCUAGUAGAGUUGCACAAAACAUACCUAUAGUUAUUGUAAUGAUACAAAUUCAGAAAAUUUGUUUCCGUUAGAAGAAAAAAAAUCUUAGGACAUCCAAUUUACCUUGUUUUGAACUUAGAUAUACUAUUCUCUCUUUCCUCCAAACAAUUUUUUCUCCCUUCCAACAUUUCUCAUGCACAUUUGGACUGGCUGAUGAUCUCUCUUAUAUGAUGAUCACAGAAUUUCAUUUGUAGCUUCCUAGAUCAUUAUGUCACUAUGCUAUAAGAAAAGCCCUUUGGUGAUUCAGAAUGUUAAUGGGUAAUUAAUUUAUGUGGCAUUAACUUUAAUCGACUCUUCUACUUUUUUUGUUCUCAAUCGUACAGAUGAAGAAAAAUCAGCCAAACACAAAUGAAGAUCAAACAUCAGCGUAAGUUCAAAUGCUGUUUUGUUUGGUAUUCUUAGCAUGUAGGAAAAAUUAAUACAUAUCUCAGUGUAUUAAGAACUUAUGCUUUAGUUGGGUUUUUUGUGCGUAUUAAUAGUCGUUACUGUAGGAUUAUUUGAAUGUUCAUCUUUAAAAUUGAAGCCUGGACCUAACUUUGAAGCCAAUGUUCUAAAAGGAGUUAAGUGGGAGGUGGGCAGCCGGGGGGGCCUAGCGCCUAUGGGGCCUAGGCAAAAUUUUUUAUUUUAAUCCAAUUUUAAUAUUUUAUCUUACAUUUAUCCAAACAAAACAAUAAUAUAAAGUAAAACUAUUAUAAUAAAGAUAAUAAAGGUUUUUGGUUAAAGUUCAAACACAUAUCCAUAUUGGCAAUGUCAAAGUUCAAACACAAACAUGCAAUUGUUGAAAGUUCAAACAUAUCUUUAACGUAUUAGUUUUAUUCAUAAACAAGAUUGCUAUUAAAUAAUAAAAUUUAAAAUUUCAAGAAUUCAAUUCAAUAUUAAAACUUAAGAAACUAAACAUAAAUUUAAGAAUUAUAUUGAAUUAAACUAAAUAUUACAAAUGUAUUAUCAUUUAUAUAAUUUGAAGUUGGUACAAGUUGAAAACAUUACAACUAUAAUAAAAUUAUCCAUUUUGACUUGAUAUUGUUCACUUCUUGUUGUGAUUUAAUAUGCUACAACUUGCAUAAUGAAUAUGGUAAAUAAUAAAAUAUAUAUAUAUCAAGAUUUGGUUUGGGUAGUUAUUAAAAUUAAAAAAAAUACCUCUCCGCCUAGCCCGCUUAAUUUUUUGGAGGGAUUUUUUUGCCGCAUUGGGCCUAGGUGAAGCGCUAGGGGGGGCUAGCGCCUAGGCAGGGCGCCAGGAGGGGCCUAGCGCCUAGGCAGACCUAGGCGGAGAUUUUUAGAACACUGUUUGAAGCUCAAACCUAAUAUUUUGACAUAGUGAUUAAAGUAAUGGCAUAGUUGGUGUGCAAUUAAUAUGACUUUUGAGAUGUACUUAGCAAUGUCUAACUCAAAUGCUUAUUAUUCAAAUAAAAUAUGUUGCACAAGUUAUUUGACAAAUAUUUAUUUGUGAUAGGAGAGAGUGUCAAGUUCAAAUGGGUGAAAAGAUGGGAAAUCUUUUACUAUAUGAGCCUUCUUUCAUGUUUAUACAAGCAAUAGCUCCAACAAGCUCAACUUUAUCUAGCUUAAAAGUACAAGGAUCUUUUUAUGUGUUAUUUAGAUGUAAUAAUUUUAGUCAAAGAUAAAACACAAUAAACGCAUAGAAGGUACUUCAUCAAAGCAAUACUUAAAAGACAUUAAGGUUGAAACAAUACAGUAAAGAUCUCAAAACAGACUUGGUUUGGAAAGAACUGCCUAUGCUAAAAUGUCUUUUUAAAGUUUAAAAAGAGAGGGAAAAUCUAAUGAUUAAAUUUCUCUUAGUUCACAUUAUUUGCUUCUAAUAAUUGUGGAGUGACUCGAUUAUGCUAAAAGUUCCAUGAAUAAACUCAUACAAGGUACUUCAUCAAAGCAAUACUUAAAAGACAUUAAGGUUGAAACAAUACAGUAAAGAUCUCAAAACAGACUUGGUUUGGAAAGAACUGCCUAUGCUAAAAUGUCUUUUACUUUAAAAAGAGAGGGAAAAUGUAAUGAUUAAAUUUCUCUUAGGUCACAUAAUUUGCUUCUAAUAAUUAUUGAGCGACUUGAUUAUACUAAAAGUUCCAUGAAUAAACGCAUACAAGGUACUUCAUCAAAGCAAUACUUAAAAGACAUUAAGGUUGAAACAAUACAGCAAAGAUCUCAAAACAGACUUGGUUUGGAAAGAACAGCCUAUGCUAAAAUGUCUUUUACUUUAAAAAGAGAGGGAAAAUCUAAUGAUUAAAUUUCUCUUAGUUCACAUAAUUUGCUUCUAAUAAUUAUUGAGUGACUUGGUUAUACUAAAAGUUCUCAUAGAUAUUCAGUUUUGGUAUAAGACAAUGUUCAUAUAACUAACUGAUAGGGAAUGUUGGUGUAUAGGGUCAUAUCCUCUCGAAACUUGCUGGUUGGAAAUAUACAUGUGCUCUUCAAUCCAAAACGUGGAGACAUUAAGCUGGGUCAGGUAUUGAUUGUCCUAUUAUGUGUGAUACGGAAGAUAUGCUACUGUGACUUGUUUGGAUAUCUUUUGUUCAUUUUACUUGUUGGAUAUCUAAACUUCUCAAUAGAUGUAUGGGAGUUUAGUAUAGUACAUUCAUGGUUAAGAAAGAGCUCAAGUGUAAUGCUCUUUUUGAUUGAUUCUGAAGAAUUUGUUGAAUUGUAACAUUAAAUGUCGUAGGUCCGAGUGUUUCUAGAGAAGGCCCGUACACUAUCAGAGGAAUGGGGAAAUAUACCAACUUUAAUUGGUGGGGACCUAAAUAGUAUGCCGCAGGUAUUUCACUAGCAUGUAAUUGUUAUACUUGUAUUUUGUUUGGAGUAAAUGCACAAUAUUGGUUUCCUUUAUGGCUUUAAUACUUUAUAUUUAUAUCUUCUUGUGUAUUCUUUUUUCAUAACUCUGUGUAUUUUCUGUCAGAGUGCUAUGUAUCACUUUCUGUCUUCAUCUGAGGUGAGUGUUCUGGUUAUGGUCUUAUGCCAAACCUAUAGAAACUAGUAUGUAAUUAGCAUACUUACGUAGAUGUUUAGUACUUGAAAGGCAUUUGUUUAUGUAUGUCUUAUGAUGGGAUUCUAGCUACAAUACAAAAUUAAGGAGGUUUGAAUUUGUUUCAGUUGGAUGUUCGAUUACAUGAUCGAAGAAAAAUAUCUGGGCAGAUCCGUCUGUUAGAGUACCCGGCAUUCUUAUCUUACAACAGAUAUCCCUCCAGGUUGUCUUGAUUUUUGUCACUAGUCUUUCAAUCUUGUAUGCUUUUGAAUUGUCUUGGGCACCAAGUUGAAGAUUGUUCGCUCGCAUAUAGAAUUGCAAUUCAAGUUGAACAUAUAUAUAUUAAUCACCAAAGUGAAGUUUAUAUGAUGUUCUUGAUCGCCGUGAAAUAAGAAAAUUUUAAAAUAGUCUCCUUUUUAUAUACAGAAUGGCAACAUUUUUUUUCCUGGUCUCUGACAAUUAUUGCAUAGGUGGACUGGAGAAGAAUUAAGGCUAGCCACUGGAACUGAAAGAGGGACGCAUGUUAAACACCAAUUGAAGCUACACAGUGCGUACCUUGGAGUUCCUGUAAGAUAAUCAUAUCCUUUUAUAUCUAUCUUGCUUGCUGCAGUUUUAUCAAUUUCAACACAGUACUUGCUAGUCUGACUGAUCUGCAUAUCAAUUUCUACUUGUAUCCCUAGGAUCGCGCCAAUUCUAUGUUUUUCUUACAUAAUUGUCUCUCAUAUUUUUGGUCUUCCCAGGGAAGCUCUAGAUCGCGAGAUAGUUAUGGAGAACCCUUGGCAACGACAUACCACUCCCAAUUUAUGGGAACUGUUGAUUAUAUAUGGUAGAUAAUUAUUUAGUAUUAAAGAAGAAUGUUUUCUAUAUGCCCUUCAAAGCUAUAAUCACUAAUAAUAGUGAUGAAACAGGCAUACAGAGGACCUUGCUCCCGUUAGAGUUCUUGAAACCUUACCCAUUGAGAAUUUGAGAAAAUUAGGAGGACUUCCAAGCAAGGUAUCUUUCAGCUCUCUUAAUAUGGGCGUUAACAUAUAAGCUUUCAACAUCUCUGACUUCAGCAAUCAAGAUUCCGACCAGAGCUAAUAAUCUCUUAAGACUUUCUUAUAAUUUUGAUUUGCAAUCGCCAGAAUCUCCAGAUCUCCUUCAAACCAAUUGUAAAUCAAAUUAAAUCAUAAAUCAUUUUCAGUUGUAUUCAUUGAGACAUAACUGCUGUUACGUAGUAUACUUGCUAGUAAAAUACGAACAUGAUCAGGUUACGUUUAUUAAGUUCUGCGUCGUCUUUUAUUUGAAUUAGUUUUUUUUUCUUCUAAAUCUUAUUGUUUUUAUUUUCUUAACGUCUUUUGCAGAACUGGGGUAGUGAUCAUCUUGCUCUUGUAUGUGAACUGGCUUUUGCCGAUGACGAUAUUGGUGACUAGACUUGCACCUCUAGUCUAUCCUUCAACUAUUCUCUUGUUCCUUGUAGCUGUAUAUACGAUGGAAGCAGCUUAUUUAACAUUUGUUAAAGUAUAAUUUAGGACAUGUUUAUGGGAUAAGUACUGGAUUGAUUCCCUAUUAGUGUUGAUUACUAGGUUAUAAAUUAAAAUUUAGGAUUAUUUCUUAGUUUUUUAUUGAGGGAUAGAACUAGCAGUCUGCAGUUCAUGACUCAUGACCAUUGACAUGGAAGUAUAUAAAUAAUACUAUAGCUCAUCUGUACAGCUUAGCUUAUGCACUUGACUUUAAUUUUAUAUCAAUUCUAAUACUCCGUCAGUUCCGUUUUACAAUAUUGAGUUUUUAAAAUUUAAUUUGAAAUAUUUUUAAAUUUAUAAUUGACAUAAUUCAUUUGAGCUUUGAAAAUAAUAAAUGUAGUACUUUUUAGGUAGUUUAUAAUUAUAUUGACAUAAAUAAAAUAAAUUUAUGUCAAUUUUAAGUUUGAAAUUGACUUUUAAAAGUCAAUAUUAGUUUUGUAAUUUGAAAGGAACGGGGACGGAGUAUUAUUCAUACAAAGUUAUAUUUAUGUUGUUGAACCGCUUACUGAGCAAUGGUACGUAUUUAGAUUGACUUGUUUCUAUAAGUAGAAAGUUGUGUAUAAAAGAGGUGACUAUAUUGCUAGGCAGCUUUAUGGUUUACCUUAUUACUAUUUAUAGAGCCGAUAAGGUUGAUUUUAUGUUAUGUGAAUAUGUGGCAACAGGAUUCGGUUAGCAUUAAAUUUAUUUUUUGGUAAGUUGAUUAAUUGGCCAAUAGAAUACUGACACAAAUAGAGAAUCAUUUGCGUGUCAGCACUCUAUUGGUCAAUUGACUAACUUACCCAAAAUAAAUUUCAUACUAACCACUUUCGUGACAACAUAUAUAGAUGAGCAAUUCUUCUACGAGGACCAGAUCCUCCCAACCGGGCUAGCCAACGGUCCCAAUUUUUUUUUUAUAAUAUUUAUUAUAAUUAAAUUUUUUACAGAAUUCUGUGAUUUAAGUGUCAUUUGGAUAUAUGCAAAAAAAUAGGGUUGCACAGACUGUACAACUCUAUUUUUUAUAUGUUUUCAAAUAACACCUAAAUCACGGGAUUCUGUAAAAAUUUCAAUUCCAAUAAAUAUUAUAAAUUAUUUAGAAUUCAUAAAAAAAAAAACAAAAAAAUUGGGACCGGUCGCUAGCCUGGACCCCGGUCGGCAGGAUCCGGUCCCCCAAGACUAGUUGAAUUUCUUUACCUUUCCUUUUCAAUGACCAAACCCCUUUAAAUAAAAGUCCGAAAGAGUUGAAAAUGGGAAUAACCUGAAAAUUAACCUUGAAUUUCAUCGGAAAAGUUGAAGAAAUUUGGAGAUUCCAAUUUCAAAAGUAAUAGAUAGAUGGAGGAAAAAACACAUGAAAUCAAAUGGAAUCUAAGCUAAAUAGAAUAAUAUUAUUAUCAUGAUGAACCUCAAUAAUUUUGUGACAUCGCAAUCGUCUAUAUAUCAUUAUUUGUAUCAUUUACUUGAUUCUUCUUAUAUCUUAAAAUAAGAUUCUAAAAAUACUCCAUACGUCUCCAAAACAAAACAAAAAAAUUGCAAAAAUUUGUGUGUGAAUAUCGAUGAUAAUAUAUGCCCAAAAUUCAUAUUGGAUUAGUUAAGACUAUUAACUUUGGAAGUAUGAAAAAGUUUGAGGUUGUUCGCAAAACACCAAACUCGACUCGAGCUCGUUAAACGAGUUGAAUUCGAACAUUUUUUUUUGUUUAUUUACUAAAAGAAGUCAAGCUAAAACAAUAUGGUAUCCAACGUAAGCCUAACACGUUUAGGUCCGACUCGAAUAAGUACGACUCGUUUAAUAUUUAAUUAACUACUUUUCUCAUUUUUAUAAUAAUAAAAUUAAACAAGUUUUGAUUAGGCUCAACUCGCUUAAAACCUCUUAAUUUUUAAACGAUUUUGAGCUCGGGACGCCAAAUUCCAAGUCGACUUGACUCAUUUAUAGCUCUAAAAAAAAGUUAAAGCAACAUAUUUUUUUCUAUAUCUUUUUUUAAGUAGAAAUUUUUGAACAUAUGAUGCUUAAUUGUGAUUAUAAUCUGACCUAAAUGAUAGGAGCUUGGAGGCUAAAUGAGAUACUGUCAAUUUCAACGACUAUUUAGUAAAUUUGAUUUAAUGUUCGCAAGCAAUCAUGUUAUUUUAUUGAGAUCACGGGAAAUGAGGUCUACCUCAAGCUCUUCCCUGAUAUAUCUUUUUAUAAUAAUAAUNNNNNNNNNNNNNNNNNNNNNNNNNNNNNNNNNNNNNNNNNNNNNNNNNNNNNNNNNNNNNNNNNNNNNNNNNNNNNNNNNNNNNNNNNNNNNNNNNNNNGGGGGGAAUCAGUUACACAAAUGAUUCAGAACAGUGGAAAAGACAAAAAGAUAACAAAGAAUGCUGCAUAUCCUACAAUCUGCCCAUAAAAUAAUCCACGACCAAAAUGAAGGAAUAAAAAGACAAUUCCCUUUAAAAAUAAAAGAUCCUCAUAAGGAGAAUUGUUUAUUAAAAUAACAAUUACUUUUUGGAAUUUAAUCCACAAAAAGUUGCUACACAUCCAUCAAAAUUUUCUCAUAUUGGUCACUUAACUAUUCCUCAUUGAUAUUUUCCACCCUUCAAUUUUCAAUAAAAACAUAAAGAAAACCCCAAGAAUUCUCCUUUCUCACUUAAAAUGAACACUUGUUUAUACUCUCAAGAACUCAAAUUCUUCAUCAUAUAUACUAAACAUGCUUGAAAACUAACAGAUCCUAGCUGCAAAACUCAUUCACAAGAUAUCAUCUAACCAAUCAAACGCCUCUUCUUCCAACUUGAAAUCGAAUUCCAGCUUAUGAUUUUCCCCAUCAUUUUUUAACUCCUGCAAUGAAAUUUCAAUGUCCACAUCCUUCAGAUCAUUGAAAAACUGUCCCACAUUAUCAUCAUGCUGCAAAUUCUCCUGAAAACCCAAAUUUAGCUCUCGACAAAUAGAUGGUGACACGAAUGGCGCUUCAAACAAUUCUGAAAUGGGCUGCUCAUCGAAAUCAUUACCGAACAAAAACAAUGGAUCUUUCAAAAAUUCCACAAUGGGUUGCUCUUUCACAAUUUUUCUCGGACCAUCAGCAAUCUGCAUUGUCGUAGUGACUGUUUCUUUGAUCGGAUUGCUCGAGCCAUCAACAGUAGGCAUAGACGUUGAAACAUCAAGAACCGAUGAUGGAGACGGAUGAGAGUACAGCACAUUAGUCUCUUCUGAAACAGAAGAGCAAGCAACAUUCAAAUUAUUCCUCAUAUUUAUCGAAUUUAACAUCCUAUCAAUCUCAAUCUUCUUGGCCUUAUAAGCUUCAGCAGCCUCUUCUGCAGUUGAAAAAGUACCAAGCCAUAAUCUUUUCUUCAGAAUAGGAUCCCGAAUCUCUGCAGCAAAACUUCCCCAUUUUCUUUUACGAACUCCUUUAUACAUUUUUCCCUUCUGAUUCUCAGUUUCCCCAACCUUAUUGUCAAUACCCUCUACUACCCCAUUUUCAAAAUUAUGACCACAAUUCCCAUUCUUCACAGGGGAUUCAUAUCGAACACUUGGAACAUCAAAUGGAAUACUAAUCUCCUUCACAAUGAGCUUAUUCCUCUUAACAAAUCCAUUCAUGGAAUCAUGAAAACAAUCAUCAUCAUCACUCUCAGAAUCAGUAGCAUCCGGAUCAUUAACAAUGAUCCGAAUUUUUCUCAUUGGAUUAUCACAAUUCUCCCUUGCCACUUUCCUUUCUUUCAACAUCUUCUCUUUCUUAUUGAUCAUAUCUAAACCCAAAACCUUCUUCCUCUGAUGCCCUUUCAUUUUCUCAGUAAUAUGGCACUUGCACAAGAAAAAGACAAAACCCCUUAAACCCUCUCAAUGAACAGAACCUUAUAAAACAGCAAAAAUUAAAACUCAAGAAUCAAACUUUGAAAAUUCUCAUCCCGAAGAGAAAAUCCCAGAAUCCUAAAGCAAACAGCAAAAGCGUUUUAUAUGAAAAAACCCAAAGCAAUCCACUCCAGAGCAACCCCUGCAUACAUAAUCAAAAUUCCCAAAUUCCCAAAAUCAAAAAAAUACCCAAAUCACAAAAUCAUGUGUAUUUGUGUUUGUUCGUAGAUUUACAUGUAUAUAUAUAGAGAUUGAAGAAAAAGGCCAUACCUUUUUGACCUUAAACACAUGGAACGAUAUGGGUGACUCUGUUUUAUCCUCUGAUGAAGACAAACUGAGGAGAGAGAUUGAGAAAAACGCAAGAGCUUCCUCGAAGAUGAAGACAUGCAAUCUUUUCUCUUCUCUCUCCUCCCCUCUCUUUCUCUCUCUUCUGGUUCUCUCAAAAACACCCCUUCCUCGAAAAAGAGAGAGAAAGAGAGAUGGGAACAAGAGCUAGGAGACACAAAUGGAAAUACCCAAAUUAUAUUAGAAUUCAAAAGAUCAAGAAUAUCAAGAUUUUUGGCAGAUUUGUUUCCUAAAUCCUAAAGAUUGUAUAUGGAAAUGAAAAUCAUGAUUGUGAAUUCCAAAUUUGUAAACUUACUUGGUGGGAUUUUGCGUUUGAAUCUUCUUCCCAACUCUGUUUUUUCCACUUCUUUUUUGCUCCUCACUUCACUUCUCUUCUAUCAAAUAGUGAGCGGCAGUUUUUUGGCCUAUUUAAGCCUCUCGCGUGCACCUUGCGGGACCAUCUGGCUGGGUUAAUCCAUGCUUAGACCGGUGUCAGCUUACUACUCCAUUAAAUAGUGGUCAUGAAAGUUUGAGUUCUGUUGAGGUGUCACAUUGUGACUCGGCAGUCCGUUUGUUUAUUUGUCUUUCACGUUUUUCAUUAAUUCUUUUAUGGAUAGACAUCGUGUUUUGGUACUAUUUAAACUUUAUAAAAUGUAUGUUUUUUUUAAGAAUAUCGUGCAUUUUUUUCCCUUCCUAGAUUAGAUUCUUCUUUAAAUUGACAUCUUUUCUAUGUAUAUAUAAUUUUUGUUGUUCAGUGAAUUUAAUUUUAAAAAGAUUAUAUAAGUGUAAUUAUCAGGGUCGUUCCUGAAUAUGAAUGAGAAGAGUUGACCGUCCUAAACUUCUGAUCAGGGGUCCUGAUUAUAUAUAUAUAUAUAUAUAUAUAUAUAUAUAUAUAUAUAAUUGUGUAUUACACAGUAGGAUUAUGGUGACAGAUUUUUUGGGCUAUGACGACGGUAAACUGUCGCCAUAGUCCAGAAUAGUUAUAACGACGGGUUAAACCGUCGCUAUAGCCCAAAAAACCGUCAUCAUAGCCAACUGUAUAAUACACAGUUGUGUGCAUAUAUNNNNNNNNNNNNNNNNNNNNNNNNNNNNNNNNNNNNNNNNNNNNNNNNNNNNNNNNNNNNNNNNNNNNNNNNNNNNNNNNNNNNNNNNNNNNNNNNNNNNNNNNNNNNNNNNNNNNNNNNNNNNNNNUAUAUAUAUAUAUAUAUAUAUAUAUAUAUAUAUAUAUAUAUAUAUAUAAAUAUGUGUGUGUGUGUGUGUAAAAUUAAAAUAUAAAUAUAUUCAACUGUACCAAUUCUAAUGUAGUGUUAAAGUCCAAAUUAUUAUGAUUAUGUUUUAAGUUCCGAAAAUAUACUUUUUUAAAUACAAGUACAUCUUGUAUUUUUUAUUUAUUUUUUUAUAUUUUUUUGUUGUAAAGACAAUAUUUCAAAAAUAAUUUUGUUUUUAUUUUUCGCUUUUAACUACCAAAAUCUCAUUAACGCCUUGAUAAUUAUGUAGUUAAACUUAUAAAAGACAUUUUCACAUAAAAUUAUUACGUAUACAUUACUGGCAUAUCAAAUAAUGAUUAUAUUGACAGUUGAAUAUUGAAAUGUUUUCUUCUAAAUAUAUACUUCUACGGUUAGAGAUGUUUAGAAUAUUACUUGAGCCAAAAACUCUCAAUAAUUACGGAUAUAAUUGAACUGCUACAUAAAAUGGAAUAUUUUAAAUAAUUUGAAUUAGUAAUGCAUUUUUUUGAAUUAAACACAUGUAGUGUUUAUACUCUUUUGGUAUGUACCUAUUAGUGCACAGACCGUGGCAGAUCCACAUAAGGGCAAGGGGGCAAGUGACCCCUCUUGAUUUUUGUAAUUUUUUUUUGUUAAUUUAGGGAUAUUAAAAUAAGGUUAUUAUUAUAUAUAUAUAAAAGAAUUGGUAAUUAAUUUGUUUUAAAGAAUAAUUUCGUAAUGUAUUUUUUAAAAAAUAAAUAAUCUAUAUUUGGUGGAUUUUAUUAUUUCUUUCCUUUCAAAAUAAAGGAGUCUCGUUUGUUAAUUUUUUUUGUUUUAGAAAAAAGAGUCAUGUUUUCUUUUGAUAAUAAUAUUAAAUGACACAAUAUACUCAAAUUUUUCAUAAAAUUUUUAUUACAUGUCAUCACUAUUAAACUAAUUAACAACUCAUUAAUUUUAAUGGUAAAUAUGAAAUAAAAAACAUUGCAUUAUAGUACAAAUGAAGCUCUUUUUAUGCAUGGGAGAGAAAAAUAUUUGAUUAGUGUUAAUUGAACAAAUUCAUUUCAAAAGAAAUUUUUCGACCGUACUAUAUUUGAUUAUAUUUGGUUUUGAUUAUAUUUUUUCUGUGUUGAAGUGUCGCAUUGUAACUCGACUGUCUGUUGGUUUAUUUGUAUACUACGUUUUUCAUUAAUUGUAUUUUUUUGAAUGGAUUUUAUGUUUUUAUUUUGAGAAUAUAUCGUUCAAAUUUUAGAAAUUUUAUGUUAUUUUUAAAGAAUAUCAUGCAAUUCUUUUUUCCUUUUUUAAAUUAGAUUAUUCUUUAAAUUGACAAUUAUUGUAUGCAUAUACAAUUUAAUUUGUUCGAAAAAUUUAUUAUAUAGUUAAAUUUAUAAGGAGUAUUCCAUAAUAGGGUACUGUCAAAUAAGGAUUUUACAACCGGUUAUUAAUACGUCAUAAUUUCUUAAUUUCAUAUUUUUGUGUUUAUUUCGUGUUAAGAUAGAUACAUUAUGUGCGUUUAUAAUUAUAAUAUUUUUUUGUUACGUUAAUUGUGUACUAUUAUUAAAAUUAAUGAUAAAACUUCUUAAUUGAAUCGAUGUAUUAUUUUUUUCUAUAUUAAUACACAAAUAUUUAUGCACAAUUAUUAUUUUCUCUUUAUGGUUAGUACUACUAUUGAACUUUAAUAACAUUUGUACUAUUUCAAAAAAUUACUCAGGCUCAAAUUUUGUGUUUAGUUCAGUAAUUUCACUGCAUAAAAGAAGCUCAUACAUAUAAAUUGGUAACGUCAAGAUCUUUCUACGCGUCUCAAUCACCGAAAAGCGCGUCCAACUCCGUACAGAAAACUAAUCAGCACCGAAAGCUUGACGACUUGAGCCGUCGGGGAUAGCUACAGCGUGAAAGUCAGUACAGACUGACACAAGGUUAACAAUGGAAGUUGUGUGUUCUAGUGUUUGUGUAAAAUUUUCAUGUUACCUUUGUCUAUAAAGUGCGCUGUGCUUAUAUACUCCUCCCACUGCCUAGCUCGCAUGCAACUCACCCAAGGCGAUCUCAGCUAAUUGCAUGCAAAAACACCGUCGUCAUCUUCCAAUGCUUCAUUAAGGAAGAAAAUUGUCAGAGUACUGUGUUUUUGUUUUUGGUGGAAGUGGUUAGCAUAAAGUUUAUUUUUGGGUAAGUUGGUCAAUUGACCAAUAGAGUACUAACACGCAGACGAGGCUCUAUGUAUAUCAGCAUUCUAUUAGUCAAUUGACCAACUUACCAUAAAAUAAAUUUUAUGUUAACCGAAUCUAUUUUUGGUUAUACUCUGAUUAAUUUGUAAUCCAUUUUAGUGACUUUUUUUUUCUUCUACUUUUAUUCGAUCAAUUAUGAUGGUUAAACUUUUGAUGCUUAAUUUUAAUAUUUGAUAGAAAGUGUUGGGACGAUUUUAUCCUUUAAUAUAUCAUCAAUGUUUAUUUAAAAAAAAUUUAAAAAUUUAUCACAUCAGUUGAAUUAUACCCCACUCGGACAUCUAUGUCAAUAAUUUCUGAUAUGACAGACUCAAUUAAAUGAAAUUAAAAAAAAAUACUUCAAUCAUCUAAUUAACAAAAUUAAAAAAUAUAUUAUCGAAGUAAAAUAUAACUCACAAUUUAAGAUAAUAAUUUAUGUUUAAGUCUAAUGAAACAAGCCUCAUAGUCAAGCAUUAUUGCUUAGUGGUAGGAAUCGCGUGGGAUAUGUUUAGCCCCCUUAAUCGUGACUCAUGAAGUGACAUUGAUGGCGCCAUCUGAAAACGUCAUCAAGCAGAUUGCUCAUGACGUCAUCAACUUCAUCCAACGGUUGAAAAUGUCUCUCUGUUCUUGGAUACUAGGAAAACACCAUCCUCCGAAAAUACACAGAAAAAAAGAAAAAGAGAAUAACAAUAGUAAUAUUAAUAAUGCGUUCCAAACAGGCAUUUCAUUUCUAGAGAGAGAGAAAGAAAGCAGGGAGAGAAACAGCGAAUUAUUCUUCAUGGAGGCUGAGAAGAAGAGGAAGAAAGCAGAGAUCGGCACGGUGGAGAGCGGCGGCGGACGGCGGAGAAAGAAGGAGGCUGCCACCACCCCUCCGCCGACGGAGGAAGAGGUGGAGGAAUUCUUCGCGAUUCUCCGGCGGAUGCGUGUUGCCGUUAAGUACUUCGAGAACAAUAAUAUCAACUGCGAUAUACCUAUUAAUCUAACUGAUAGUUUGGUGCCGGUGAAGACGACGGUGACUGAGCCGGUUGACGACGUUAAAGGUGGAGAUAACGGCGUUUUGGAUCUCAACUCGAUUCCUGACGGCGAAAGUAACAGCGAUUAACGUAGGUGGUUAUGCAUGGUUUUAUAUUACUUGUCAUGUGAUAUUUAUUUUUUAAUAUUUAAUUCGUGGACAUGUUUUGUUGUUUUAUUCUUGCGAUUAUUCUUGAGAGUAUUUAGAAAAUUAUUUAUUUAUUUUUUAAUUUAGAAAAUUAUUUCUUUAGGAGCUAUAAUAAAGAAGAAAGUUGAGGGUGAGAAAAUUUCUUCUCACUUCAUUUUUUUCUAUUUAUAUAAAAAAACUUAAAAUUUCUAAUUAUGUUAUUUCCUUCUCAACUUACAAACAAGAAUGAAAACAAAUAUUCUAGUUUAAUUUCUAUAUAUAUAAUGAAAGAUUGUUGAGAUUUUAUAUUUAUAUAGUUCGAGACUUUAUAAAGUUCUUGAAUAAUAUAUUAUACUUAGAACUACAAAAAUUCAUGCUUCAUUCUAAAUGUUGAGAAAACUUGAAGUUCUAUAAUGAUUAUAGAGAAAUAUUACAUAGCAAAAAUCAUGUAUUAAAGGAUUCUCCCGUAUUGAAAAUAUAGUUAAG
RNAcentral lists this long non-coding RNA (21947 nucleotides) under Panax ginseng (ginseng). Its description in RNAcentral is "long non-coding RNA (PGIN_LNC013238)". The stretch from base 20272 to 20393 matches the Rfam family "MIR6135 microRNA precursor family". Lineage: Eukaryota; Viridiplantae; Streptophyta; Magnoliopsida; Apiales; Araliaceae. The record is from RNAcentral.